UUUUGCUUCUAAAUUCGACGAUCAUAUGUAAAGGAUCUAGUAACUUGACACAGCUAUCUUUUCAGUGCGAUGAUUGGAAAUACGAGUACCCAGAAGAAAAUGGCGUCACAAAUAUGUGUAACAUGACAGUGAAGGACGGUUCGGAGUUCAUGUUUUUCGAGUGAAUUUAAAGGUAGAUUAAUUAGAUUGAAUGUAAUAUUUGAAGAAAUUGAAACUUUCAAAACAAAAUGUGUAGUUGAACCAAAACAAUGGGUCUGGACCUUCCCAGGAGAAAAAGGAGCAACACAUUUUCUAAAGUGGCCACAGGAAUAUCGUGUAUGGUCUCUCGGGCUCUUAGAUUCGCGUACAUUUGGUCCAGUUGAUAUUCGUAUAACAGUCCAAGGAAACUGUCCAGUUAUUAUUGGACAAAACGAGACCACACAAAGAAUAGGACUUGCUUUGUUACAGAUGGCAAACAAAGCAUCGGAUUUGCCUGGAGCUAACGUGGAAUAUGGAUAUGGCUAUGUAUGUUAUCAUGAAAGAGUGUACAUUGAUAGUCCAUUUAUGUACAGCUUAUGUCUGCAUAUCAUUUGUCCAUUUGAAGCAUUAGGAUACAGAUGCUGCAAUACUAUAUAUGAAAUUGGAAAUAAUAAAACUCGAGUAGUUUGUGACGGAGAAGUAAUUCAUUAUGACGAAGCUUGGUGGAUAGUUCCAUUUAUAAUUGGCAUUCUCAUGUUUGCUAAUGUGCCUCUUUUGCUCGUGAAACCGUUUCAGAAGCAGAGAAGAUGCAAAGGUUUUCACACAAUCGAUUUAUUACAAUCGGGAAUUUACAAUGAAGACUGGCUUAUUGCUAAUCCCUUGUCAUUUUGCAGGAUUAUAAGAUCUCCAUUCAUAUAUUUCGGUGAAAAAUUCCCAAGAAUGGCUGGCGUUAUUUUAAGAUUUUUAGUAACAAUGUGCAGUGUAUUGAUUUUGAUAAUUCAAAUUUUAGUACAUUACAACUACGACUAUAAAUAUACAUUAGACCUCGUUAAAGCAGGUGUUCCAUUGGCGUUCAGAUCCAUGGUCACUGGAUAUCAUUACAGCAAGCAUAAUUUUAUGCCUCGUCUUGGAGGACCCUACGUCGGUCUCGCAUUUUAUCUCAUAACGACAGCUGUUCUCGUUUGUUUACCACGUGAUUUAGAAACCUUCAUUGACAAAGGUAUACCAAAUAACGUUCAAUUAUCCGUGUCCCCAAUCACAAUAGAUCUCAAAACGAGAGGAAAACUCGGUGCAGUUUUUGAUAUAGAAAGGCAACAUGGCUAUCAAAAAAUCUAUAGUUUGAUGAAAGCACACAUUUUUAUGCUAAUAAACCCAUCAUUUUGGAAACUCGCGAUACAAAUGCAGCUUAGAAGAUUUUUGGGAUUACUAAACAUUGCCACACAAAAGAAAUCUUUGAAAGUUUCACUUUUGGUUGUGCUUUUUAUACCAUAUUUCUUCGUUUUUUGCGUUGCAGAAUUGCUACUUGCAGUGACCUAUUAUGGAUUUCCUAUCUUUUUAUUCUUCCAGGUGACUGUUUGUGCGUACUGUAAAGAAAUUAAGACGAUAAUCACACGUUUCGGGGUAAUUGGGAAUAUUAUCCGGUACUUAUUAACACUCUCAGUAGUCGGCUUGCUUGUAUUUAAUAUUUAUAUCUUAACUGUGGUUUUUGUUGACAGUUUUCAUUUUAUAACGAGAGUCAUCAUGUUUACCUUCACUGGAUUAAUUGCGUAUCCCGGUACUACAUACGGGUAUUUUGUCUUUGCCAUCACCAUACUAAUGUAUGUUAUGGAAGCGAUACAGCAUAUAAGAACCGGAUAUUCAAAACUAUUCAACCUUGUCAGAAAAUGUUGUAUGAAGAUUCACAACAAUAAUUCCUUUCCUAACAUUUCCCUUAUUAAACAGUGUAACGGCUUCUACGUGAUUUCACGAGAACUAUUCUUUUUUGUUGUUUCUCGUCACCGACCUAUUCGAGUUGAAAUAUUUUUUUCAUUCCUGAAACUUGUUUUUAUCACAUUUUUGAUGUACCUUGCUAUUCAUACUAUUGUUAAACUACAAGGACUUUGGGAUAUCAAUCCGCUCACACAAGUAGUUACUGCACUUUUUAUUUGUCUCAUUCCAAAGCUAUGGCAUAAAAUGAUGACAAGAGACGAAUUUCUAGUUGAUAUGCGAGAAGCAUUUGUAAUUCAAAAACUAAUUGCUGACUACUGCAGACAAAAACUGUAUACCAGAGAACAUAUAAUAAAUACUGACUUAGGUAAUGGUGACCAAGAAAACCAAAAUGAACACCAAUCUUUACUCGGGGGCAAUAUCGACCGAGGUUAUUACUCGAUAGCCAGUAAAGACGCUGAGUCUGAAGACGAUGAAAUGCGGGCAGAUCUUCUUUUAGACCUAGCAAAUGAGCUGUGAUCAAAUCUUUUAUUGUAAAUGUCUAUGGUUUUGAUAUUUUUCAUAAAUAAACCUUAUUGAUAGUGUGUAUUUAACCUUGAUACUGCGUUGUACUUACGGUCCAAAGUAAUACGUGACUGGACAACUUUUACGAUAAUAUCAUUUAUAAAGCUAACAAAUUAUGACAUUGUUAUUUUACUUUUUUUUCUUUUUGAAGUUGCAUCCAUAUUGAUUAUUACUGUUAUUGUUCAAUCGUUCCGUCAUUAAUUUUUGUCAUUUGUAUUUUAUUUUUGAAGAGGGGGUUGAACGAAAUACGAUAUGAGUCAUAGCUUUAUUAAAGCAAGACUAUUGAAUACAUUCUUUGAUAUUCACAUCAUUGUGUCAUUGAUAUUCUGUAAAAAUUUCAUUAUCGGCAUUUUAUGUUCUAUAUAAAUAAGAAGAUGGGGUAUGAGUGAUAAUGAGUCAAAUCACAAUGUAUUAACAAUUAUAUAUAGGUCAGAGUACGGCCUUAUAUUUCCAAUUGGUUUGUUUAUACGAAAUAAUUAAGUUUGACAUACUUGGGAAGGACUGCUACGAAUGAUUCAGACAACAAAGAUAAAAUUGAGAAUGGAAAUGGGGAAUGUGUCAAAGAGACAACAACCUGACCAUAGAACAGACAACAAAAGAAGGUCACCAACAGGUCUUCAAUGCAGCGAGAAAUUUCCGCACCCGAAGGCGUCCUUUAGCUGGCCCCUAAACAAAUAUAUGUACUAGUUCAGUGAUAAUGAACACCAUACUAAACACCAAAUUGUACACAA
Molecule: long non-coding RNA, 3179 nt
Filed under: Mytilus galloprovincialis (Mediterranean mussel)
Lineage: Eukaryota; Metazoa; Mollusca; Bivalvia; Mytilida; Mytilidae
Source: RNAcentral